Molecule: ribosomal RNA, 538 nt
Filed under: uncultured Geobacteraceae bacterium
Lineage: Bacteria; Pseudomonadati; Thermodesulfobacteriota; Desulfuromonadia; Geobacterales; Geobacteraceae
Description: bacterial SSU rRNA
Rfam family: Bacterial small subunit ribosomal RNA
Source: RNAcentral
GAGUUUGAUCCUGGCUCAGAACGAAMGCUGGCGGCGUGCUUARCACAUGCMAGUCGAACGUGAUUGASAACUUGCUCUCAUGAAAGUGGCGCACGGGUGAGUAACACGUGGAUAAUCUGCCUGGCGAUUCGGGAUAACACUUCGAAAGGGGUGCUAAUACCGGAUAAGCCCACGGUCUCUUCGGAGAGUGCGGGAAAAGGGGGCCUCUGUAUAUGCUCCUGUCGCUAGAUGAGUCCGCGGCCCAUUAGCUAGUUGGUAGGGUAAUGGCCUACCAAGGCUACGAUGGGUAGCUGGUCUGAGAGGAUGAUCAGCCACACUGGAACUGAGACACGGUCCARACUCCUACGGGAGGCAGCAGUGGGGAAUUUUGCGCAAUGAGCGAAAGCCUGACGCAGCAACGCCGCGUGAGUGAUGAAGGCCUUCGGGUCGUAAAGCUCUGUCAGAGGGGAAGAACCGCCGGGUGGCUAAUACCUGCCUGGUCUGACGGUACCCACAAAGGAAGCACCGGCUAACUCCGUGCCAGCAGCCGCGGUAAUAC